GAGUAUCACUCUUCAACCCAUUUCUAGUGAUAGUAAGUAAACACAAAGCUCAAAACCUGAAACUCAACGUUACCACAAGAUCAGAAACCUCACCGUUUUCGAGAUGAGUCGGGGCAUCUCAAUUUCGAGACUUCCCAAAUUGGCUUGUUCUCGCUCAGUUUGGUAAUAGCUUCUUUUAUUUUUAUUUUUUGUGAUAAUAGGAUUUUCCAUUUCAUUUCUAUUUCAAAAUUUGAACUUUAUUAUGAUCUAAUCCUGAAGUUUUUGUUUUUGCAGCAAGUUGUAGGAGCUACCUGAAUUAGAGGUUAAAUGAAUUAACGGUACAAAAUCCAUUAAGCUAUUCAAUGGGCUUAGUGCCUAAUUUAUUGCAACCCU
This 372-nucleotide long non-coding RNA is filed under the name Trifolium pratense (red clover). Its description in RNAcentral is "long non-coding RNA (TPRA_LNC010838)". Lineage: Eukaryota; Viridiplantae; Streptophyta; Magnoliopsida; Fabales; Fabaceae. The record is from RNAcentral.